This 393-nucleotide ribosomal RNA is filed under the name uncultured bacterium. RNAcentral describes it as "bacterial SSU rRNA". It matches the Rfam family "Bacterial small subunit ribosomal RNA", at positions 30 to 417 of the family's 1533-position model. The record is from RNAcentral.
AUUGAACGCUGGCGGCAGGCCUAACACAUGCAAGUCGAACGGUAACAGGAAGAAGCUUGCUUCUUUGCUGACGAGUGGCGGACGGGUGAGUAAUGUCUGGGAAACUGCCUGAUGGAGGGGGAUAACUACUGGAAACGGUAGCUAAUACCGCAUAACGUCGCAAGACCAAAGAGGGGGACCUUCUGGCCUCUUGCCAUCGGAUGUGCCCAGAUGGGAUUAGCUAGUAGGUGGGGUAACGGCUCACCUAGGCGACGAUCCCUAGCUGGUCUGAGAGGAUGACCAGCCACACUGGAACUGAGACACAGUCCAGACUCCUACGGGAGGCAGCAGUGGGGAAUAUUGCACAAUGGGCGCAAGCCUGAUGCAGCCAUGCCGCGUGUAUGAAGAAGGCCU